GGGUUGUGAGGUUAAGCGACUAAGCGUACACGGUGGAUGCCCUGGCAGUCAGAGGCGAUGAAGGACGUGCUAAUCUGCGAUAAGCGCCGGUAAGGUGAUAUGAACCGUUAUAACCGGCGAUUUCCGAAUGGGGAAACCCAGUGUGAUUCGUCACACUAUCAUUAACUGAAUCCAUAGGUUAAUGAGGCGAACCGGGGGAACUGAAACAUCUAAGUACCCCGAGGAAAAGAAAUCAACCGAGAUUCCCCCAGUAGCGGCGAGCGAACGGGGAGGAGCCCAGAGCCUGAAUCAGCAUGUGUGUUAGUGGAAGCGUCUGGAAAGGCGCGCGAUACAGGGUGACAGCCCCGUACACAAAAGCGCAUGUGCUGUGAGCUCGAUGAGUAGGGCGGGACACGUGGUAUCCUGUCUGAAUAUGGGGGGACCAUCCUCCAAGGCUAAAUACUCCUGACUGACCGAUAGUGAACCAGUACCGUGAGGGAAAGGCGAAAAGAACCCCGGCGAGGGGAGUGAAAAAGAACCUGAAACCGUGUACGUACAAGCAGUGGGAGCACAGGUUUACCUGUGUGACUGCGUACCUUUUGUAUAAUGGGUCAGCGACUUAUAUUCUGUAGCA
This 613-nucleotide ribosomal RNA is filed under the name Salmonella enterica. Its description in RNAcentral is "partial 23S ribosomal RNA". It matches the Rfam family "Bacterial large subunit ribosomal RNA", at positions 1 to 642 of the family's 2925-position model. The record is from RNAcentral. Lineage: Bacteria; Pseudomonadati; Pseudomonadota; Gammaproteobacteria; Enterobacterales; Enterobacteriaceae.